GUGUCAGCAGCCGCGGUAAGACAGAGGGUGCAAACGUUGCUCGGAAUUACUGGGCGUAAAGCGCGUGUAGGCGGAUUUGCAAGUCGGAUGUGAAAUCCCUGGGCUCAACCCAGGAACUGCACUCGAAACUGUGAGUCUUGAGUAUCGGAGAGGAAAGCGGAAUUCCUGGUGUAGAGGUGAAAUUCGUAGAUAUCAGGAGGAACACCGGUGGCGAAGGCGGCUUUCUGGACGAUAACUGACGCUGAGACGCGAAAGCGUGGGGAGCAAACAGGAUUAGAUACCCUGGUAGUCCACGCUGUAAACGAUGAACACUAGGUGUCGUGGGUAUUGACCCCCGCGGUGCCGUAGCUAACGCAUUAAGUGUUCCGCCUGGGAAGUACGGUCGCAAGACUAAA
Molecule: ribosomal RNA, 395 nt
Filed under: uncultured bacterium
Lineage: Bacteria
Description: bacterial SSU rRNA
Rfam family: Bacterial small subunit ribosomal RNA
Source: RNAcentral